AGGAGGAGAACGAAGAUGCAUGUAAGAGCAAGAAUUCCAAAAAAGUUGAAAUGGUGAGAUGAGAGAAUUUCCCUGAAGACUCAGAGGACCUCCUCUGGAGGACCCAGAGGACCAUAGACCAGGUCCUGCUCACCAGCAGCUCCAGCUCCCAGAACAUCUCUCUUUUUUAAUGUAAAUGUUUACAGUGAUGAACUUCCCUCUUUGCACUUAUUUUGAUGCAUCCUAUAAAUUUUGACAAAGAAGAGGUCAUAUGAGCACCCAGCAAAGAAGCAGCCAUCUACAACUCAAGAGGAAAGCCCUUGUUGGAAACAGACUGGCACCCUGAGCUCUAAAUUUUGAACUUCAAAAGUGUAAGAAAGUAAUUUCUCUCUUGAAACCACUCACUCUAUAUUUUAUUGUGGCAUCCCCAGCUGAGUAAAACAGUACAUGUAUGUUUAUAAAUUUUUAUAUCUACUUGAUGUAUGUAAACCUACUUGUAUGAAGGUUUAAUGAAUAUCUAUGCCCGACUGCAGAGAUAAUGGAAUAAAAACUGCAGUGAUCAUGUGCAAAAAGAAUACACAAUUUGCAAAAAUAGUUAUCAGAAAUCGCUAAACAAAGGGUGGCUUCAGUCCUCAACAAGUUAAGCUCAGCAAUAUGUUAGGAAGAGAAGAUUUUGAUUUUCAGAAUUACAGCUUUAUAUUACUUAAAAUGUCCAGAUAUCAACAUAAAAGUAUACAGUAUACAAAAAAAGGAAAGUAUGUCCCACUCAUAUGUAUAUAUGAAUUUGACAGAAACUAUCACAGAGGAAACCCAAACAUUGGAAUAACUAGUCAAAAACAUUCAACCAACUGGAAUGACAUCAGAAGGGUGAUGGCAUGAGAAAUCCCCUUGGUCUCUCCCCCUUGAAAUUUUAACACUUUGAGGAAUUAUAAUUCAACAGAGGGUUUUCUGCUCAAUGCACAAACAUCUCUGAGAGAUUUGCACAUUGAAACAUCUGAAGGUGGACAAGUGGGAACAAACAGGGAGGUGAGAGGGUAGAAGAGAUUUGACAAGCCCUGUAGCCCAGAGCUCAGUCUGGGGCUCAGCCUGGAAAGGGGAAGAAUCUGGUUGUGGCUUGAACUUUCUUCAGCCAGGAGGAAAGAGAUUUAGUAAGAAUUCACGCAGGAAUGAGCAGUAGUAGCAGCAGCUCAACCCAGUUACCUGGGCAGGGACAAAGGAUAGAGAUGCUGACUAUUAGCAGUUCAGACAGAGAGACAAAGACAUGGAGCCAGACUGCUCUCUCCCAGUUUUUCAGAGUUCACCUUCCCUCACCAUCCGUAUCAGCUUGCAAAGCAUGUCUACAAACCCAUGAACUGGCACUACAGAAGCACUCUUUCCCUUAGUGAAGGGCAUGCACUUCUACCAGUCCCAGGGUUGGGUGGAGUUGCAGAGGAAAUUCUGUGGAGGUCCACUGGUCACUAUUGCUGGGACAGCAAAUCAACAAAGAGGCAGUUGGAUACCCCCAGCUCACCCUACACCCACACAUUAUGACUACACUACCUGAGGAUUCUGGCUGUGAAGGACAGCACUGGAAUUUCAUGCAUUUGGAUCCUCAUUGCCCACUGUAUUCCCCUGUAGGCUUGGUUCCCUGGGCCCAGGGAAGCAGGAUCACAAGAAAGGCACAUACCUCCCCAUGGAACACAGAGCAUUUUUCACCACCCUACAGAGAGCUGAAAAGCCAGAGAAGCACAUGAGA
Molecule: long non-coding RNA, 1714 nt
Organism: Phyllostomus hastatus (greater spear-nosed bat)
Lineage: Eukaryota; Metazoa; Chordata; Mammalia; Chiroptera; Phyllostomidae
Exons: 3
Source: RefSeq, a predicted model, not a curated record